AAGGGAGGCAUUCAUGGUGAGUUCUGGCACCUCUUCUUUUUCAAGAGUCAGUGCAUAUCCUUUGCUAUUUUUCUAGAAAAGAGGUGCCGGAACUAACCAUGAAUGCCUCUCU
Molecule: non-coding RNA, 112 nt
Organism: Podarcis lilfordi (Lilford's wall lizard)
Lineage: Eukaryota; Metazoa; Chordata; Lepidosauria; Squamata; Lacertidae
Source: the annotation of a GenBank genome assembly